GAGUUUGAUCAUGGCUCAGAUUGAACGCUGGCGGCAGGCCUAACACAUGCAAGUCGAGCGGUAGAGAGAAGCUUGCUUCUCUUGAGAGCGGCGGACGGGUGAGUAAUGCCUAGGAAUCUGCCUGGUAGUGGGGGAUAACGCUCGGAAACGGACGCUAAUACCGCAUACGUCCUACGGGAGAAAGCAGGGGACCUUCGGGCCUUGCGCUAUCAGAUGAGCCUAGGUCGGAUUAGCUAGUUGGUGAGGUAAUGGCUCACCAAGGCGACGAUCCGUAACUGGUCUGAGAGGAUGAUCAGUCACGCUGGAACUGAGACACGGUCCAGACUCCUACGGGAGGCAGCAGUGGGGAAUAUUGGACAAUGGGCGAAAGCCUGAUCCAGCCAUGCCGCGUGUGUGAAGAAGGUCUUCGGAUUGUAAAGCACUUUAAGUUGGGAGGAAGGGCAGUAAAUUAAUACUUUGCUGUUUUGACGUUACCGACAGAAUAAGCACCGGCUAACUCUGUGCCAG
This 507-nucleotide ribosomal RNA is filed under the name uncultured bacterium. RNAcentral describes it as "bacterial SSU rRNA". It matches the Rfam family "Bacterial small subunit ribosomal RNA", at positions 9 to 511 of the family's 1533-position model. The record is from RNAcentral.